AGCUUUGCGCAGUGGCAGUAUCGUAGCCAAUGAAUUUAUCUGAGGCGCAAUUAUUGCUAAUUGAGAAUCGAGCCCUAUAAAUUCUGGGGCUCGGGUCUCUCCAUGGAAGAUUACCAACUCGUUGG
Molecule: small nuclear RNA, 125 nt
Filed under: Tursiops truncatus (common bottlenose dolphin)
Lineage: Eukaryota; Metazoa; Chordata; Mammalia; Artiodactyla; Delphinidae
Description: U4 spliceosomal RNA (ENSTTRG00000022298.1)
Rfam family: U4 spliceosomal RNA
About the family: U4 small nuclear RNA (U4 snRNA) is a component of the major U2-dependent spliceosome.
Source: RNAcentral